CAUCGCCACCAGUGUGGUUCCCAUGCCCGCCAGCUCGGGCUCGGCGUCGAUCCUCUGGCGCAGAGCCCGGUUGGCGGCGU
RNAcentral lists this transfer RNA (80 nucleotides) under Streptosporangium violaceochromogenes. RNAcentral describes it as "tRNA-Pro". Lineage: Bacteria; Bacillati; Actinomycetota; Actinomycetes; Streptosporangiales; Streptosporangiaceae. The record is from RNAcentral.